Molecule: ribosomal RNA, 460 nt
Filed under: uncultured bacterium
Lineage: Bacteria
Description: partial 16S ribosomal RNA
Rfam family: Bacterial small subunit ribosomal RNA
Source: RNAcentral
CCUACGGGAGGCAGCAGUGAGGAAUAUUGGUCAAUGGACGAGAGUCUGAACCAGCCAAGUAGCGUGAAGGAUGACUGCCCUAUGGGUUGUAAACUUCUUUUAUAAAGGAAUAAAACGAGGCACGUGUGCCUUUUUGCAUGUACUUUAUGAAUAAGGAUCGGCUAACUCCGUGCCAGCAGCCGCGGUAAUACGGAGGCUCCGAGCGUUAUCCGGAUGUAUUGGGUUUAAAGGGAGCGUAGAUGGGUUGUUAAGUCAGUUGUGAAAGUUUGCGGCUCAACCGGAAAAUUGCAAUUGAUACUGGCAGUCUUGAGUACAGUUGAGGUAGGCGGAAUUCGUGGUGUAGCGGUGAAAUGCUUAGAUAUCACGAAGAACCCCGAUUGCGAAGGCAGCUUACUAAACUGUGACUGACAUUGAUGCUCGAAAGUGUGGGUAUCAAACAGGAUUAGAUACCCUUGUAGUC